RNAcentral lists this unclassified non-coding RNA (240 nucleotides) under Lachnum sp. RNAcentral's name for it is "partial internal transcribed spacer region". The stretch from base 1 to 46 matches the Rfam family "Eukaryotic small subunit ribosomal RNA", at positions 1786 to 1831 of the family's 1831-position model. Lineage: Eukaryota; Fungi; Ascomycota; Leotiomycetes; Helotiales; Lachnaceae. RNAcentral also lists the same sequence under 2 other names. The record is from RNAcentral.
AAGUCGUAACAAGGUUUCCGUAGGUGAACCUGCGGAAGGAUCAUUACAGAGUUCAUGCCCUUCGGGGUAGAUCUCCCACCCGUGUGUAUCAUUAUCGACUGUUGCUUUGGCGGGCCGCGUGCCUCGCACGCCUAGACUUCGGUCCGGCGCGCCCGCCAGAGGACCUCAAACUCUGAAUGUUAGUGUCGUCUGAGUACUAUUAAAUAGUUAAAACUUUCAACAACGGAUCUCUUGGUUCUG